UCGGGAAUUUUGGGCAAUGGGGGAAACCCUGACCCAGCAACGCCGCGUGAAGGAUGAAGUAUUUCGGUAUGUAAACUUCGAAAGAAUAGGAAGAAUAAAUGACGGUACUAUUUAUAAGGUCCGGCUAACUACGUGCCAGCAGCCGCGGUAAGACGUAGGGGGCGAGCGUUGUCCGGAUUUAUUGGGCGUAAAGAGCUCGUAGGCGGUUGCGUAAGUCGGAUGUGAAAACUCAGGGCUCAACCCUGAGACGCCAUCCGAUACUGCGCUGACUUGAAUCCAGUAGGGGAGUGUGGAAUUCCUGGUGUAGCGGUGAAAUGCGCAGAUAUCAGGAGGAACACCCAUGGCGAAGGCAGCACUCUGGGCUGGUAUUGACGCUGAGGAGCGAAAGCCAGGGGAGCAAACGGGAUUAGAUACCCAAGUAGUCCCUGAGCGGGCUGGCAAGGCGCAU
This 448-nucleotide ribosomal RNA is filed under the name uncultured bacterium. RNAcentral describes it as "bacterial SSU rRNA". It matches the Rfam family "Bacterial small subunit ribosomal RNA", at positions 355 to 825 of the family's 1533-position model. The record is from RNAcentral.